RNAcentral lists this ribosomal RNA (305 nucleotides) under uncultured bacterium. RNAcentral's name for it is "bacterial SSU rRNA". It matches the Rfam family "Bacterial small subunit ribosomal RNA", at positions 333 to 631 of the family's 1533-position model. The record is from RNAcentral.
UACCCCCUACGGGACGCAGCAGUAGGGAAUUUUCGUCAAUGGGCGCAAGCCUGAACGAGCAAUGCCGCGUGAACGAGGAAGGUCUUCGGAUCGUAAAGUUCUGUUGAAGGGGAAAAAGAGCGGAGAGAGGAAAUGAACUCCGAUUGAUAUUACCCUUCGAGGAAGUCACGGCUAACUCCGUGCCAGCAGCCGCGGUAAUACGGAGGAUGCGAGCGUUAUCCGGAUUUAUUGGGUUUAAAGGGUGCGUAGGCGGUCCGUUAAGUCAGCGGUAAAAUUGCGGGGCUCAACCCCGUCGAGCCGUUGAA